CUAAUACAUGCAAGUCGAACGAGAGCGACCGGUGCUUGCACUGGUCAAUCUAGUGGCGAACGGGUGAGUAACACGUGGGUAACCUGCCCAUCAGAGGGGGAUAACAUUCGGAAACGGAUGCUAAAACCGCAUAGGUCUUCGAACCGCAUGGUUUGAAGAGGAAAAGAGGCGCAAGCUUCUGCUGAUGGAUGGACCCGCGGUGCAUUAGCUAGUUGGUGAGGUAACGGCUCACCAAGGCCGUGAUGCAUAGCCGACCUGAGAGGGUGAUCGGCCACAUUGGGACUGAGACACGGCCCAAACUCCUACGGGAGGCAGCAGUAGGGAAUCUUCCGCAAUGGACGCAAGUCUGACGGAGCAACGCCGCGUGAGUGAAGAAGGUUUUCGGAUCGUAAAACUCUGUUGUUAGAGAAGAACAAGUGCUAGAGUAACUGUUAGCGCCUUGACGGUAUCUAACCAGAAAGCCACGGCUAACUACGUGCCAGCAGCCGCGGUAAUACGUAGGUGGCAAGCGUUGUCCGGAUUUAUUGGGCGUAAAGCGAGCGCAGGCGGUUCCUUAAGUCUGAUGUGAAAGCCCCCGGCUCAACCGGGGAGGGUCAUUGGAAACUGGGGAACUUGAGUGCAGAAGAGGAGAGUGGAAUUCCAUGUGUAGCGGUGAAAUGCGUAGAUAUAUGGAGGACACCAGUGGCGAAGGCGACUCUCUGGUCUGUAACUGACGCUGAGGCUCGAAAG
This 729-nucleotide ribosomal RNA is filed under the name uncultured Bacilli bacterium. RNAcentral describes it as "bacterial SSU rRNA". It matches the Rfam family "Bacterial small subunit ribosomal RNA", at positions 48 to 759 of the family's 1533-position model. The record is from RNAcentral. Lineage: Bacteria; Bacillati; Bacillota; Bacilli.